This 464-nucleotide ribosomal RNA is filed under the name uncultured bacterium. RNAcentral's name for it is "partial 16S ribosomal RNA". It matches the Rfam family "Bacterial small subunit ribosomal RNA", at positions 30 to 507 of the family's 1533-position model. The record is from RNAcentral.
CGAACGCUGGCGGCGCGCCUAACACAUGCAAGUCGAACGAGCGAGAGAGAGCUUGCUUUCUCGAGCGAGUGGCGAACGGGUGAGUAACGCGUGAGGAACCUGCCUCAAAGAGGGGGACAACAGUUGGAAACGACUGCUAAUACCGCAUAAGCCCACGGCUCGGCAUCGAGCAGGGGGAAAAGGAGCAAUCCGCUUUGAGAUGGCCUCGCGUCCGAUUAGCUAGUUGGUGAGGUAACGGCCCACCAAGGCGACGAUCGGUAGCCGGACUGAGAGGUUGAACGGCCACAUUGGGACUGAGACACGGCCCAGACUCCUACGGGAAGCAGCAGUGGGGAAUAUUGCACAAUGGGGGAAACCCUGAUGCAGCGACGCCGCGUGGAGGAAGAAGGUCUUCGGAUUGUAAACUCCUGUUGUUGGGGAAGAUAAUGACGGUACCCAACAAGGAAGUGACGGCUAACUACGUG